This 495-nucleotide ribosomal RNA is filed under the name uncultured bacterium. Its description in RNAcentral is "partial 16S ribosomal RNA". It matches the Rfam family "Bacterial small subunit ribosomal RNA", at positions 28 to 507 of the family's 1533-position model. The record is from RNAcentral.
GACGAACGCUGGCGGCGUGCCUAAUACAUGCAAGUAGAACGCUGAAGGAGGAGCUUGCUUCUCUGGAUGAGUUGCGAACGGGUGAGUAACGCGUAGGUAACCUGCCUGGUAGCGGGGGAUAACUAUUGGAAACGAUAGCUAAUACCGCAUAACAGUAGAUAUCGCAUGAUAUCUACUUGAAAGGUGCAAUUGCAUCACUACCAGAUGGACCUGCGUUGUAUUAGCUAGUUGGUGAGGUAACGGCUCACCAAGGCGACGAUACAUAGCCGACCUGAGAGGGGGGUCGGCCACCCUGGGACUGAGACACGGCCCAGACUCCUACGGGAGGCAGCAGUAGGGAAUCUUCGGCAAUGGACGGAAGUCUGACCGAGCAACGCCGCGUGAGUGCAGAAGGUUUUCGGAUCGUAAAGCUCUGUUGUAAGAGAAGAACGAGUGUGAGAGUGGAAAGUUCACACUGUGACGGUAUCUUACCAGAAAGGGACGGCUAACUACGUG